UUUCGAUGAUGAAAAACCUUUUACCAGUUCUGCUACUGAAUUUUAGUGAUGAGUUUUAGGGCUGAGAAA
Small nucleolar RNA from Alosa sapidissima (American shad), 69 nucleotides. Lineage: Eukaryota; Metazoa; Chordata; Actinopteri; Clupeiformes; Clupeidae. The record is from RefSeq and is a predicted model, not a curated record.